RNAcentral lists this ribosomal RNA (429 nucleotides) under Gemmatimonadota bacterium. RNAcentral's name for it is "Gemmatimonadetes bacterium partial 16S ribosomal RNA". It matches the Rfam family "Bacterial small subunit ribosomal RNA", at positions 355 to 776 of the family's 1533-position model. The record is from RNAcentral. Lineage: Bacteria; Pseudomonadati; Gemmatimonadota.
UAGGGAAUCUUCGGCAAUGGACGAAAGUCUGACCGAGCAACGCCGCGUGAGUGAAGAAGGUUUUCGGAUCGUAAAACUCUGUUGUUAGAGAAGAACAAGGACGUUAGUAACUGAACGUCCCCUGACGGUAUCUAACCAGAAAGCCACGGCUAACUACGUGCCAGCAGCCGCGGUAAUACGUAGGUGGCAAGCGUUGUCCGGAUUUAUUGGGCGUAAAGCGAGCGCAGGCGGUUUCUUAAGUCUGAUGUGAAAGCCCCCGGCUCAACCGGGGAGGGUCAUUGGAAACUGGGAGAAGUGAGUGCAGAAGAGGAGAGUGGAAUUCCAUGUGUAGCGGUGAAAUGCGUAGAUAUAUGGAGGAAAACCAGUGGCGAAGGCGGCUCUCUGGUCUGUAACUGACGCUGAGGCUCGAAAGCGUGGGGAGCAAACAGG